GGCUUUAUAGUCAUUAAUGAUAUUAGACUGCAAUUCUAAAGGAGUAGAGUUCUACUAAGGCUU
Molecule: transfer RNA, 63 nt
Filed under: Protonemura orbiculata
Lineage: Eukaryota; Metazoa; Arthropoda; Insecta; Plecoptera; Nemouridae
Description: tRNA-Cys
Source: RNAcentral